Molecule: ribosomal RNA, 440 nt
Filed under: uncultured bacterium
Lineage: Bacteria
Description: partial 16S ribosomal RNA
Rfam family: Bacterial small subunit ribosomal RNA
Source: RNAcentral
CCUACGGGAGGCAGCAGUGGGGAAUAUUGCACAAUGGGGGAAACCCUGAUGCAGCGACGCCGCGUGAGUGAAGAAGUAUUUCGGUACGUAAAGCUCUAUCAGCAGGGAAGAAAAUGACGGUACCUGACUAAGAAGCCCCGGCUAACUACGUGCCAGCAGCCGCGGUAAUACGUAGGGGGCAAGCGUUAUCCGGCUUUACUGGGUGUAAAGGGAGCGUAGACGGCAGCGCAAGUCUGGAGUGAAAUCCCAUGGCUUAACCAUGGAACUGCUUUGGAAACUGUGCAGCUAGAGUGCAGGAGAGGUAAGCGGAAUUCCUAGUGUAGCGGUGAAAUGCGUAGAUAUUAGGAGGAACACCAGUGGCGAAGGCGGCUUACUGGACUGUAACUGACGUUGAGGCUCGAAAGCGUGGGGAGCAAACAGGAUUAGAUACCCCGGUAGUC